Molecule: ribosomal RNA, 428 nt
Filed under: uncultured prokaryote
Description: bacterial SSU rRNA
Rfam family: Bacterial small subunit ribosomal RNA
Source: RNAcentral
UGAGGAAUUUUGCGCAAUGGGAGCAAUCCUGACGCAGCAACGCCGCGUGGGUGAUGAAGGCCUUCGGGUCGUAAAGCCCUGUCAGGUGGGAAGAAUGUCCCGGGACUGAACAGGUUCCGGGAGUGACGGUACCACCAGAGGAAGCACCGGCUAACUCCGUGCCAGCAGCUGCGGUAGUACGGAGGGUGCAAGCGUUAUUCGGAAUUACUGGGCGUAAAGCGCGUGUAGGCGGUCCUGCAAGUCUGAUGUGAAAGCCCCGGGCUUAACCCGGGAAGUGCAUUGGAAACUGUGUGACUUGAGUACUGGAGAGGAUGGGGGAAUUCCCGGUGUAGAGGUUAAAUUCGUAGAGAUCGGGAGGAAUAUCAGUGGCGAAGGCGCCCAUCUGGACGGUAACUGACGCUGAGACGCUAAAGCGUGGGGAGCAAACA